AUAAUAAUAAUAUACAACAACAGAACACCUAAGUUGAAGCAUCCAGAUACCAAAAAUGCCAUCAAGUAUGUAUUGCGAACAAAACAUCAACGUCC
Hibiscus syriacus is the source of this 95-nucleotide long non-coding RNA. RefSeq lists it as uncharacterized. NCBI's taxonomy places the organism in Eukaryota, Viridiplantae, Streptophyta, Magnoliopsida, Malvales, Malvaceae. The record is from RefSeq and is a predicted model, not a curated record. The transcript has 3 exons.